GAAAGUUGCAACCAAUAUUGAUCAUUCAGUUUUCCAUCUUUUUAAAAGAUGAAGAUGUGAAGAAAAAGUGGGCUAACCUUCGUGAUACGUUUCACCAGCAAAGACGGUCAUAUGAGGCAAAGCUUGCAAGUGGUGCUCCAGCAGUAGAGGAGCCAGUGUGGAAAUGGUGGAAGUGUUUCCAAUGGUUACAUGAUGUCACAAAACAAAAUACGAGCAGUUCAUUUUCCAAUUUACCUGAAAUUGAGUCUCGAGUUUCAUCACCAUGCAGCCAUGCAAGUGAUCA
This is a long non-coding RNA of Xenia sp. Carnegie-2017, 283 nucleotides long. RefSeq lists it as uncharacterized. The record is from RefSeq and is a predicted model, not a curated record. The transcript has 3 exons. NCBI's taxonomy places the organism in Eukaryota, Metazoa, Cnidaria, Anthozoa, Malacalcyonacea, Xeniidae.